GUAAAGCACUUUCAGUAGGGAGGAAGGUAGUGUAGUUAACACCUGCAUUAUUUGACGUUACCUACAGAAGAAGCACCGGCUAACUCCGUGCCAGCAGCCGCGGUAAUACGGAGGGUGCGAGCGUUAAUCGGAAUUACUGGGCGUAAAGCGCAUGCAGGCGGCUUGUUAAGUCAGAUGUGAAAGACCCGGGGCGUUAACCUCGGAAUUGCAUUUGAAACUAGGCAGGCUAGAGUCUUGUAGAGGGGGGUAGGAAUUUCAGGUGUAGCGGUGAAAUAGCGUAGAGAUCUGAAGGAAUACCAGUGGCGAAGGCGGCCCCCUCGGACAAAGACUGACGCUCAGAUGCGAAAGCGUGGGGAGCAAACAGGAUUAGAUACCCUGGUAG
Molecule: ribosomal RNA, 382 nt
Filed under: uncultured bacterium
Lineage: Bacteria
Description: bacterial SSU rRNA
Rfam family: Bacterial small subunit ribosomal RNA
Source: RNAcentral